This is a non-coding RNA of Zygosaccharomyces bailii CLIB 213, 98 nucleotides long. The record is from Rfam. Lineage: Eukaryota; Fungi; Ascomycota; Saccharomycetes; Saccharomycetales; Saccharomycetaceae.
GGGCGUGUGGUCUAGUGGUAUGAUUCUCGCUUUGGGUGGUUCUACUUAGUGGGCUACAAAUAUGCGAGAGGUCCUGGGUUCAAUUCCCAGUAUGCCCC